GAUGAAGAACGCAGUGAAAUGCGAUACGUAAUGUGAAUUGCAGAAUUCAGUGAAUCAUCGAAUCUUUGAACGCACAUUGCGCCCGCCAGUAUUCUGGCGGGCAUGCCUGUUCGAGCGUCAUUUCAACCAUCAAGCCCCAGGCUUGUGUUGGGGACCUGCGGCUGCCGCAGGCCCUGAAAAUCAGUGGCGGGCUCGCUGUCAUACCGAGCGCAGUAGUUACAUCUCGCUCUGGGCAUGGCGGCGGGCACCUGCCGUAAAACACUCUUUCUAAGGUUGACCUCGGAUCAGGUAGGAAUACCCGCUGAACUUAAGCAUAUCAAUAAGCGGAGGA
RNAcentral lists this unclassified non-coding RNA (331 nucleotides) under soil metagenome. Its description in RNAcentral is "partial contains 5.8S ribosomal RNA, internal transcribed spacer 2, and large subunit ribosomal RNA". The stretch from base 1 to 120 matches the Rfam family "5.8S ribosomal RNA", at positions 35 to 154 of the family's 154-position model. The record is from RNAcentral.